RNAcentral lists this ribosomal RNA (429 nucleotides) under Bacteroidota bacterium. RNAcentral's name for it is "Bacteroidetes bacterium partial 16S ribosomal RNA". It matches the Rfam family "Bacterial small subunit ribosomal RNA", at positions 355 to 776 of the family's 1533-position model. Lineage: Bacteria; Pseudomonadati; Bacteroidota. The record is from RNAcentral. RNAcentral also lists the same sequence under 1 other name.
UAGGGAAUCUUCGGCAAUGGGGGGAACCCUGACCGAGCAACGCCGCGUGAGUGAAGAAGGUUUUCGGAUCGUAAAGCUCUGUUGUUAAGGAAGAACGAGUGUGAGAAUGGAAAGUUCAUGCUGUGACGGUACUUAACCAGAAAGGGACGGCUAACUACGUGCCAGCAGCCGCAGUAAUACGUAGGUCCCGAGCGUUGUCCGGAUUUAUUGGGCGUAAAGCGAGCGCAGGCGGUUAGAAAAGUCUGAAGUGAAAGGCAGUGGCUCAACCAUUGUAGGCUUUGGAAACUGUUUAACUUGAGUGCAGAAGGGGAGAGUGGAAUUCCAUGUGUAGCGGUGAAAUGCGUAGAUAUAUGGAGGAACACCGGUGGCGAAAGCGGCUCUCUGGUCUGUAACUGACGCUGAGGCUCGAAAGCGUGGGGAGCGAACAGG